CCUACGGGUGGCAGCAGUGGGGAAUAUUGGGCAUUGGGCGCAAGCCUGACCCAGCAACGCCGCGUGCAGGAAGAAGGCUCUCUGGUUGUAAACUUCUUUUGUCAGGGAAGAGUAGACGACGGUAUCUGACGAAUAAGCCACGGCUAACUACGUGCCAGCAGCCGCGGUAAUACGUAGGUGGCCAGCGUUGUGCGGAUUUAAUGCGUGUAAAGGGCGUGUAGCCGGGUUGACAAGUCAGAUGUGAAAUCCUGCGGCUUAACCGCAGAACUGCCUUUGAAACUGUUGAUCUUGAGGACUGUAGAGGCAGGUGGAAUUUCUGGUGUAGCGGUGAAAUGCGUAGAUAUUA
Molecule: ribosomal RNA, 346 nt
Filed under: uncultured bacterium
Lineage: Bacteria
Description: partial 16S ribosomal RNA
Rfam family: Bacterial small subunit ribosomal RNA
Source: RNAcentral